RNAcentral lists this ribosomal RNA (494 nucleotides) under Bacillus sp. PSu2_32. RNAcentral's name for it is "bacterial SSU rRNA". It matches the Rfam family "Bacterial small subunit ribosomal RNA", at positions 50 to 526 of the family's 1533-position model. The record is from RNAcentral. Lineage: Bacteria; Bacillati; Bacillota; Bacilli; Caryophanales; Bacillaceae.
UAUACAUGCAGUCGAGCGAACUGAUUAGAAGCUUGCUUCUAUGACGUUAGCGGCGGACGGGUGAGUAACACGUGGGCAACCUGCCUGUAAGACUGGGAUAACUUCGGGAAACCGAAGCUAAUACCGGAUAACAUCAUUCCUUGCAUAAGGAAUGAUUGAAAGAUGGUUUCGGCUAUCACUUACAGAUGGGCCCGCGGUGCAUUAGCUAGUUGGUGAGGUAACGGCUCACCAAGGCAACGAUGCAUAGCCGACCUGAGAGGGUGAUCGGCCACACUGGGACUGAGACACGGCCCAGACUCCUACGGGAGGCAGCAGUAGGGAAUCUUCCGCAAUGGACGAAAGUCUGACGGAGCAACGCCGCGUGAGUGAUGAAGGCUUUCGGGUCGUAAAACUCUGUUGUUAGGGAAGAACAAGUAUGAGAGUAACUGCUCGUACCUUGACGGUACCUAACCAGAAAGCCACGGCUAACUACGUGCCAGCAGCCGCGGUAAUAC